AUCGCAUCUUGCGUUUGCAAUUGUUAAUAGGAAUAAAUCAAGACAUCAGAAUGUGAAUUCUUGAGUGCACAUGGAGCUUUGGCAUUGGAGGCGGUGAUGUGGAAGUGAUUAUCCUGAAGACAAUCAGACUGUCAGACGACUGGCAGCUCACGCUCUGAGGAUUGAAUUUUAAAGAGCGGCCUGACCUGUGCCACGGUCGCUACCACUUUUUCUGAUCGUCGUUACCAUGGUAUCAUCACCUCCUGUCAGGCUCUGAUCUGAGAGCAGCCUCUGACUCAGAUUGUCAUCUUAAAGAAUGAAAAGGAAGGUAAAAAAGCAUCGCUCUCAGUUCUCUAAUGGGCCCAGACGACUGCUCACCUUUGAGCCUAACGCAGCCUGAGAGCAGCAGAAGCAUAGCAGAGGAUUAGCAGCCAUGCGUGACUGAUGGGGAGAAGAUACGCCAUCAGAAUAAGUUAGAGGACGAAGAUCUCUCCUCCUCCUCCUCUCCCCUCUUGAUUUCUUUGUGCAUGAAAGCGAAAGAGAGAGAGAGAGAGAGAGAGAGAGAGAGGAAAAGGGAGAGGAGGAGAGAUGCUCACUCUGUCUGAAGUGUCAUCCUCUCUGCUCGUCUUAUGAAACAGGAAUAAGUGGCUGGUUGAAGUGGAAGGAGACUCUGUUGGGGUGAAUCUAAUCCGAUACAUGUUUCUGUGGCUGGAUGUGACGCCACAUCACCUGCACUGUAGCCCGAGGCCCUCAUUACUGUCACCGACUGACUCACUCUGA
This is a long non-coding RNA of Acanthopagrus latus (yellowfin seabream), 759 nucleotides long. RefSeq lists it as uncharacterized. The transcript has 2 exons. NCBI's taxonomy places the organism in Eukaryota, Metazoa, Chordata, Actinopteri, Spariformes, Sparidae. The record is from RefSeq and is a predicted model, not a curated record.